GACGAACGCUGGCGGCGUGCUUAACACAUGCAAGUCGAUCGAAGAGCGAUGGAAGCUUGCUUCUAUCAAUCUUAGUGGCGAACGGGUGAGUAACGCGUAAUCAACCUGCCCUUCAGAGGGGGACAACAGUUGGAAACGACUGCUAAUACCGCAUACGAUCUAAUCUCGGCAUCGAGGAUAGAUGAAAGGUGGCCUCUACAUGUAAGCUAUCACUGAAGGAGGGGAUUGCGUCUGAUUAGCUAGUUGGAGGGGUAACGGCCCACCAAGGCGAUGAUCAGUAGCCGGUCUGAGAGGAUGAACGGCCACAUUGGGACUGAGACACGGCCCAGACUCCUACGGGAGGCAGCAGUGGGGAAUCUUCCGCAAUGGACGAAAGUCUGACGGAGCAACGCCGCGUGAGCGAUGACGGCCUUCGGGUUGUAAAGCUCUGUUAAUCGGGACGAAAGGCCUUCUUGCGAAUAGUGAGAAGGAUUGACGGUACCGGAAUAGAAAGCCACGGCUAACUACGUG
This 510-nucleotide ribosomal RNA is filed under the name uncultured bacterium. Its description in RNAcentral is "partial 16S ribosomal RNA". It matches the Rfam family "Bacterial small subunit ribosomal RNA", at positions 28 to 507 of the family's 1533-position model. The record is from RNAcentral.